Molecule: ribosomal RNA, 114 nt
Filed under: Mus spretus (western wild mouse)
Lineage: Eukaryota; Metazoa; Chordata; Mammalia; Rodentia; Muridae
Source: RNAcentral
AUCUACAGACAAACCACCCUGAACACGCCUAAUCUUGUCUUAUCUCGGAAGCAGGGUCGGGCCUGGUUAGUACUUGGAUGGGAGACCAUCUGGAAAUACUGGGUGCUGUAGGCU